This 24-nucleotide microRNA is filed under the name Zea mays. RNAcentral's name for it is "microRNA miR-3014". The record is from RNAcentral. Lineage: Eukaryota; Viridiplantae; Streptophyta; Magnoliopsida; Poales; Poaceae.
AUAAGCUGUAUUUUCGUGGGCCGA